UUCUUGUUGCCUUCGCUACUUCUGGCAGGUUGGUUUCUUUCUCUAUCUUCUUUACUUUCACUCAUUUACUCCUUAACAUUGUACCUACUCCAGAUUUUCUUAUAUAGUUGUUCAGUAGAUGUUAAGGUUUAUGAUGUACGAAGAACAAGCUGCUUUAACUGAUUAAGGAGUUGGUUCUGUUCUAGAGAUAUGUUUAUGCCAUCAAGUGCAUUAACCCUGGCUAGUGUUCUUCUUUACCCUAAAGCUCUUGGAGGAGGUUCAGUCUUUAGCGGAUGGAUUCCAUUCAAUAUUUGGAGUUAUGGAUCAAACAACGGAUGCAGAGCUCUUGGUAUUAAAAGGCAACAUUGUACUCAAGGUAACAAUAUCCUAGUGCCUAUCAAGAUUAGAAUAACAUCAGCUCAUCUCUGGUCUAGUUUCUCUAUCAUGAAAACCGGUUUUUUGGUUUAAACGUCUUGUUUGGUUAUGUAAACUGGUACUUUUGUUAACUACAAACAGUUUGUACUUUGCAUUGAUUUGGAAAAUUAUAUGUCAACACUAUAAUUCUUUUAUUUAGUCAACAAAUCAAGUGACUACAUAACUCGAA
Molecule: long non-coding RNA, 583 nt
Organism: Arabidopsis lyrata subsp. lyrata
Lineage: Eukaryota; Viridiplantae; Streptophyta; Magnoliopsida; Brassicales; Brassicaceae
Exons: 2
Source: RefSeq, a predicted model, not a curated record